This 107-nucleotide small nuclear RNA is filed under the name Tupaia belangeri chinensis (Chinese tree shrew). The record is from RNAcentral. Lineage: Eukaryota; Metazoa; Chordata; Mammalia; Scandentia; Tupaiidae.
GUGCUUGCUUUGGCAGCACAUAUACUAAAAUUGAAAUGAUACAGAAAAUAUUAGCAUGACCCCUGCACAAGAAUGACACGCAAAUUCAUGAAACAUUCCAUAUUUUU